Molecule: ribosomal RNA, 1143 nt
Filed under: gamma proteobacterium UST061013-008
Lineage: Bacteria; Pseudomonadati; Pseudomonadota; Gammaproteobacteria
Description: bacterial SSU rRNA
Rfam family: Bacterial small subunit ribosomal RNA
Source: RNAcentral
AGUCGAGCGGAAACGAGUUAUCUGAACCUUCGGGGAACGUUAACGGCGUCGAGCGGCGGACGGGUGAGUAAUGCCUAGGAAGUUGCCCAGUAGAGGGGGAUAACCAUUGGAAACGAUGGCUAAUACCGCAUAACCUCUUCGGAGCAAAGCAGGGGACCUUCGGGCCUUGCGCUAUUGGAUACGCCUAGGUGGGAUUAGCUAGUUGGUGAGGUAAUGGCUCACCAAGGCGACGAUCCCUAGCUGGUCUGAGAGGAUGAUCAGCCACACUGGAACUGAGACACGGUCCAGACUCCUACGGGAGGCAGCAGUGGGGAAUAUUGCACAAUGGGCGAAAGCCUGAUGCAGCCAUGCCGCGUGUGUGAAGAAGGCCUUCGGGUUGUAAAGCACUUUCAGCAGUGAGGAAGGCAUUAAGAUUAAUACUCUUAGUGUUUGACGUUAGCUGCAGAAGAAGCACCGGCUAACUCCGUGCCAGCAGCCGCGGUAAUACGGAGGGUGCGAGCGUUAAUCGGAAUUACUGGGCGUAAAGCGCAUGCAGGUGGUGGAUUAAGUCAGAUGUGAAAGCCCGGGGCUCAACCUCGGAACUGCAUUUGAAACUGGUUCACUAGAGUACUGUAGAGGGGGGUAGAAUUUCAGGUGUAGCGGUGAAAUGCGUAGAGAUCUGAAGGAAUACCGGUGGCGAAGGCGGCCCCCUGGACAGAUACUGACACUCAGAUGCGAAAGCGUGGGGAGCAAACAGGAUUAGAUACCCUGGUAGUCCACGCCGUAAACGAUGUCUACUUGGAGGUUGUGGCCUUGAGCCGUGGCUUUCGGAGCUAACGCGUUAAGUAGACCGCCUGGGGAGUACGGUCGCAAGAUUAAAACUCAAAUGAAUUGACGGGGGCCCGCACAAGCGGUGGAGCAUGUGGUUUAAUUCGAUGCAACGCGAAGAACCUUACCUACUCUUGACAUCCAGAGAACUUUCCAGAGAUGGAUUGGUGCCUUCGGGAACUCUGAGACAGGUGCUGCAUGGCUGUCGUCAGCUCGUGUUGUGAAAUGUUGGGUUAAGUCCCGCAACGAGCGCAACCCUUAUCCUUGUUUGCCAGCGAGUAAUGUCGGGAACUCCAGGGAGACUGCCGGUGAUAAACCGGAGGAAGGUGGGGACGA